Molecule: unclassified non-coding RNA, 233 nt
Filed under: plant metagenome
Description: partial contains small subunit ribosomal RNA, internal transcribed spacer 1, and 5.8S ribosomal RNA
Source: RNAcentral
UUUCCGUAGGUGAACCUGCGGAAGGAUCAUUACUGAGUGAGGGCCCUCUGGGUCCAACCUCCCACCCGUGUUUAUUAUACCUUGUUGCUUCGGUGAGCCCGCCUCACGGCCGCCGGGGGGCAUCUGCCCCCGGGCCCGCGCCCACCGAAGACACCUAGAACUCUGUAUGAAGAUUGCAGUCUGAGCAAAAACUAAAUAAGUUAAAACUUUCAACAACGGAUCUCUUGGUUCCG